This 700-nucleotide ribosomal RNA is filed under the name Enterobacter cloacae. RNAcentral describes it as "bacterial SSU rRNA". It matches the Rfam family "Bacterial small subunit ribosomal RNA", at positions 38 to 728 of the family's 1533-position model. Lineage: Bacteria; Pseudomonadati; Pseudomonadota; Gammaproteobacteria; Enterobacterales; Enterobacteriaceae. The record is from RNAcentral.
GGCAUUGCGCAGCUACACAUGCAGUCGAACGGUAGCACAGAGAAGCUUGCUCUCGGGUGACGAGUGGCGGACGGGUGAGUAAUGUCUGGGAAACUGCCUGAUGGAGGGGGAUAACUACUGGAAACGGUAGCUAAUACCGCAUAACGUCGCAAGACCAAAGAGGGGGACCUUCGGGCCUCUUGCCAUCAGAUGUGCCCAGAUGGGAUUAGCUAGUAGGUGGGGUAACGGCUCACCUAGGCGACGAUCCCUAGCUGGUCUGAGAGGAUGACCAGCCACACUGGAACUGAGACACGGUCCAGACUCCUACGGGAGGCAGCAGUGGGGAAUAUUGCACAAUGGGCGCAAGCCUGAUGCAGCCAUGCCGCGUGUAUGAAGAAGGCCUUCGGGUUGUAAAGUACUUUCAGCGGGGAGGAAGGUGUUGUGGUUAAUAACCGCAGCAAUUGACGUUACCCGCAGAAGAAGCACCGGCUAACUCCGUGCCAGCAGCCGCGGUAAUACGGAGGGUGCAAGCGUUAAUCGGAAUUACUGGGCGUAAAGCGCACGCAGGCGGUCUGUCAAGUCGGAUGUGAAAUCCCCGGGCUCAACCUGGGAACUGCAUUCGAAACUGGCAGGCUAGAGUCUUGUAGAGGGGGGUAGAAUUCCAGGUGUAGCGGUGAAAUGCGUAAAGAUCUGGAGGAAUACCGGUGGCGAAGGCGGCCCC